CGGGGCCCGGCCCCCGGCGCUGUCCCUGUCCCUGUCCCUGUCCCCGCCCGGCCGCCGCCGUCACCUGGGGCCCGUCCCCUCGGCAGGAGGCAGGGACGGGGACACCCGCCCCGAAAAUGAGCGAAAAAAAGUUCCUCCAUCCGCUAACACAGGGAAGGCCUUGGAGCUCCUGGACAUGUUUCCCGACGUGCGCAGGGAGAACAGAUCUGCAGGCAGCAUCUUCCCUGUGAAUCGGCAGUCCUGGAAAACGCUCCUGGGUGCUGGAGCAGUGCUGUGCACCUCUGGCCUAUGCCAAUUUCCAGGGACGUCUGGGGACUUAGCGUGGCUCAGCAGCCAGUCCCGAUAUACAACUUGUUUGGACCUCUGUCCUGGAGCAGAACCAAGAUUACUGAACUGGACAGGAGCUGUGUCAGAGCAGCUGCCCUCUGUUACCAGAGAAUAGCUCUGCUCACGUACAAUUUACUGCUGUAAAGGGAAGCAAAAACAAAGUACAAAGAGGGCCUUUGAGCCCCUGUUAUUGUCAGGAGGAAUUCUCUGAAUGAGUAGGCCAGGAAGGGAAAGCUAAGGUUCUUUCUGUGAGCUGAAUUUAUUUUAAGAGUAAUAAAUAAAAGCACCUUAGGAAAAUACCAUCUACUUAGAGUAGAAGGUAUUACUUUUCUGUUACAACAAGUAGUAAGGGUUUCUACUUCCGAAGUGCUGAAACACUCUUCUUAUCUAUGUACUGUUAAAGAAUCACCAAAGAAUCUGAGCAACUUCUCUGAUUUUUAAAAAGGAGAAGUGAUUUGAAUAUAUGCUUACUUCAUUCCUAAAUACUGAAAAACAUAGAAUAUUGUCUUUUUAUGUAAUCUAUGGGUUGAUUUUUCCCAUAAAAUACGAAAAUAUGAAGCAAGUUCUGGGAUUAAAUAAAAAUUAUUAAUUUGUCUUGCAGCAGAAUACCCCAAACUUUAUUGGAUAAGAGCCAUUAUGCAAAACAGUACAGAACCGUGUAGAGAUCAAUAUGAACAACAACUUAUUCAUAAUGAUGAAGUACAGAUUAUUCCAGAAGUGUUACAUAAAAGUGUCUGCAGUGACCUUUUUGGUCUGAAACAUUUGUCACUUUUGGUUCGACAAUGAACCAAUAAACCAUUUUGGUUCCGAGAAAUGAUUGACAAAGAAAGGCCAGAUAGAAAAGACAGAAGUGAAAAAGGAAGACCAAGGCUAGCUGGCAAUCAAAUAGCUUUCUGCAGGAUUGCUAGUAUAAACUAGCAAUCAUUUCAGAAGGCAAUUCAGAAGGCAAGUUCCUGUUACACUUUAACAUAAUAAAAAUGAUUAUCAAUGAGAUUUAUAAAUCUCUCCAUUAUUUCAAUACAUUUGUGAAAUAAUGCUGCCUCUAAACCACACAAUUUUGCUAGCAAAAAAUCCCAAUUAGAUACAGUCACAUGUAGCAACAGAAGAUAUACAAGCAAGAGUUCUUAAUGAAAAAGGAAAAAAAAUAAUUAUGAUAGGGAACACAUAUCUCUUUCAGAGUUCUGUUCAAGCUUCUGAACUGUUUGUUUAUGCCAUUUCAGUGCUCAAUUCCUUUUUAAGGCUUUUUUGUUGUUGUUGUUGUGUCCCGUUUCUGUGUCAUAUUGCAUUACCUCUUUCCAUAAGGGUAUGGUGAGCAGAUAUUUUCCAGGAAAGACAGGAGAUUGGAAAACAUCAGAUCUUACCAAGAUGACUGUUUGCAGUGAGCAGCAGAGCAUGCAUGUAAAAGGACCGGCCACUGAUCAUCAUAACAUCUCCAUUUUGUGGUUCUGAAGUGGAAGAUCUGUCCAAGACCUCCUGGAUUAAUUUCUUCAGAGAAGUGUGUUUUUUUGUGGGGGGAUCUACUUAAUUCAUUUUAUAGCUUAAUUUGGUCAAUAUACCCACAAAAUUUUCCUAAUCUCAGUCAUCUGCACUGAAAUUUCCUAUUUUAUGUUCUGUUCUCUACUUUUUCAUGGAUGACUGGGGCCAUAUGCUCCAACUACUUUCCAUUCUUCCUCUUGCCAGCAAAACAGGCUCUCAGUUUGCAUUGAGCUCUAUAAUGCUGUCUGGUGAGAGAUCCAGAGGGACCCAUUGGAUAUUGCUCAGAGCAUCUACCUCAGGGGAAACGGCUUUCAAUUCAACAAGCAAAAUUUGGGAUAAUUGCAGCAGAAAAAAAAAAUCUAUUAGUAUAAAAUAUAGCAUCCUAGGAAAACACCAGGAAAGACUGAGAAAACAGGAGGGAAAAUAGAAAAAAAAAAAAAAAGACCAAAAGGACUGGGAAAAGAGAAUAAAUAUACUGUGGAACGGGAUAGAAAUGAGAGGGGUGGAGUCUAAAAUGGGUGUAAAUAAGGGAAAGUGAUGACUUAGGCUAGUUCUGUUGCCAGUUCCGAAUUUGCAUAGAGGAAAUAACUGUACGUUUUCUGUGAAGUUCUCAUGCUAUUUUUGUCCCGACUGUUUUCACACCAGUGGUGGUGUGCCAUGACAUGAUUUCCACCAAGGUUUCUCUGACAGCUUCCCAGGGAUGCAGCUCUGGUGCUGGUGUGAACGGUGGAGGCUUGCUACUGACAUUAUCUAACCCGCUGAUCUGAGGGGAUUUCUCUUUCUACACCUACAGCUUCUUAAUGCUGUAAUACAUCAAUUCCAGUUACUGAAGCAUAAGAUAUUUUUCUCCCUGCUUCAGCCAAGCAAGAGGGACUUGAUUCUACAAUAGCUCUUAAAAUCUGCACUUACAAUAAAUAGUAGUACAAUAAAGUACUACUCUGCUAUCGUGACAUCAGUUCAACUUAUUUCAGAUUAAAACUGUGACACCCAUUGCCUAAGAAGGGCAAACCUGUGUGCAUCUAUGUUAGCACUUUAUUUCAGUUCAAUUACAUAGUUUUGAAGCAAAUUAGGUUGACCUCCUCUCCUCCUCUUUGUCCUGUCUGGUGGAGCAUCCCCAGGACACACAGAGGAAACGUUUCACCUGCAAUAUAGCAGGAAGCUGUGCUCCAGCCACAAAUGGAGCAGCCGAGAAACACAAACCCGACCAAGCAAGGACAGCAUGGAGGCUGCUCUCCUGCUCAAAUUAGGGUGCAGUGCAGAGCUCUUCCUGUGGUGCCAUCCCACGUGCUAACACAGUGAUUAAAACACAAUGAUGCUAGCCCCAUGUUUAUGGCCUCAGCUAUUUCCCUAGGCUGGGGUGAAGCUCGACACCCAGAAGAUGCUGCAGGACUGCUUGGAUCCAGACUGCUUGAUCACAUUAUGAAAAAAAUAAUUACAGAUCCAAAAGAAAAUUCUUGAGUGCACCAGAUACCCUUCCUUGAACUAGAGCUGCAGUUUUAAAAGAUGCUUGGUGUCUCCGUGUUGUGGGAGGUGUAAGGAUUAAGAGAAGAGUGAGAAGAAAGAAAGGAGCUCUUCCAAUAUUUCCUGUUAUUUGUUUGUGUUCUAUGGUGGAAAACAAUUUUCCCCUCACAAUGUUGUCAUUUUGUAUUUGGCAAGCAUUGAUUUUUUUUUAUUUAUUCAUUUUUUUUUAGCUUGUUUGCAGUAAAGCAUGAAAUGAACACA
Anas platyrhynchos (mallard) is the source of this 3525-nucleotide long non-coding RNA. RefSeq lists it as uncharacterized. The record is from RefSeq and is a predicted model, not a curated record. Lineage: Eukaryota; Metazoa; Chordata; Aves; Anseriformes; Anatidae.